RNAcentral lists this ribosomal RNA (253 nucleotides) under uncultured bacterium. Its description in RNAcentral is "partial 16S ribosomal RNA". It matches the Rfam family "Bacterial small subunit ribosomal RNA", at positions 524 to 776 of the family's 1533-position model. The record is from RNAcentral.
UACGGAGGAUCCAAGCGUUAUCCGGAAUCAUUGGGUUUAAAGGGUCCGUAGGCGGUUUAGUAAGUCAGUGGUGAAAGCCCAUCGCUCAACGGUGGAACAGCCAUUGAUACUGCUAGACUUGAAUUAUUAGGAAGUAACUAGAAUAUGUAGUGUAGCGGUGAAAUGCUUAGAGAUUACAUGGAAUACCAAUUGCGAAGGCAGGUUACUACUAAUGGAUUGACGCUGAUGGACGAAAGCGUGGGUAGCGAACAGG